CCUCCUUUUCUUGCCGGGGCCCGGGCGUGUAGUCCGCUCCUGAUUAUGUGCAGAGGUAGAGGGAAAGGGCUCUGGCCCACUCGGCGUCAUGUGUUCUGUGCUGGCGGCUUCCUGUCUGCCAGUUCUAUCCUCAAACACCGGGACAUCA
This is a small nucleolar RNA of Nycticebus coucang (slow loris), 148 nucleotides long. RefSeq annotates it as small nucleolar RNA SNORA57. NCBI's taxonomy places the organism in Eukaryota, Metazoa, Chordata, Mammalia, Primates, Lorisidae. The transcript has a single exon. The record is from RefSeq and is a predicted model, not a curated record.